Molecule: ribosomal RNA, 602 nt
Filed under: Sporobolomyces sp. YR-1
Lineage: Eukaryota; Fungi; Basidiomycota; Microbotryomycetes; Sporidiobolales; Sporidiobolaceae
Description: eukaryotic LSU rRNA
Rfam family: 5.8S ribosomal RNA (bases 182-335)
Source: RNAcentral
UCCGUAGGUGAACCUGCGGAAGGAUCAUUAUUGAAAACUAGGGUGUCCAAUUUAACUUGGAACCCAACCUUCUCAAUUCUAACUUUGUGCAUCUGUAUAAUGGCGAAGCAGAUCUUCGGAUCUGUGAGCCUUCACUUACAAAACAUCAGUCUAUGAAUGUAAAAUUUUUAUAACAAAUAAAAACUUUCAACAACGGAUCUCUUGGCUCUCGCAUCGAUGAAGAACGCAGCGAAAUGCGAUACGUAAUGUGAAUUGCAGAAUUCAGUGAAUCAUCGAAUCUUUGAACGCAUCUUGCGCUCUCUGGUAUUCCGGAGAGCAUGUCUGUUUGAGUGUCAUGAAUUCUUCAACCUAAUCUUUUCUUGUAAUCGAUUGGUGUUUGGAUUCUGAGCGCUGCUGGCUUCGGCCUAGCUCGUUCGUAAUACAUUAGCAUCCCUAAUACAAGUUUGGAUUGACUUGGCGUAAUAGACUAUUCGCUAAGGAUUCGGUGGAAACAUCGAGCCAGCUUAAUUAAGGAAGCUCCUAAUUUAAAAGUCUACCUUUUGAUUAGAUCUCAAAUCAGGCAGGAUUACCCGCUGAACUUAAGCAUAUCAAUAAGCGGAGGA